UACGUAGGGGGCUAGCGUUGUCCGGAAUCAUUGGGCGUAAAGCGCGCUGUAGGCGGUCCGGUAAGUCCGCUGUGAAAGUCGGGGGCUCAACCCUCGGAUGCCGGUGGAUACUGUCGGGCUUGAGUACGGAAGAGGCGAGUGGAAUUCCUGGUGUAGCGGUGAAAUGCGCAGAUAUCAGGAGGAACACCAAUUGCGAAGGCAGCUCGCUGGGACGUUACUGACGCUGAGACGCGAAAGCGUGGGGAGCAAACAGG
RNAcentral lists this ribosomal RNA (254 nucleotides) under uncultured bacterium. RNAcentral describes it as "partial 16S ribosomal RNA". It matches the Rfam family "Bacterial small subunit ribosomal RNA", at positions 524 to 776 of the family's 1533-position model. The record is from RNAcentral.